GGCCCGUUCGUCUAACGGAUAGGACGCCACCCUCUCAAGGUGGAAAUAGGGGUUCNAUUCCCCUACGGGCUG
This 72-nucleotide transfer RNA is filed under the name bacterium. Its description in RNAcentral is "tRNA-Glu". It matches the Rfam family "tRNA". From Rfam's summary of the family: Transfer RNA (tRNA) molecules are approximately 80 nucleotides in length. Their secondary structure includes four short double-helical elements and three loops (D, anti-codon, and T loops). The record is from RNAcentral.